CAGGUUGUGAGCUCGAUGAGUAGGGCGGGACACGUGGUAUCCUGUCUGAAUAUGGGGGGACCAUCCUCCAAGGCUAAAUACUCCUGACUGACCGAUAGUGAACCAGUACCGUGAGGGAAAGGCGAAAAGAACCCCGGCGAGGGGAGUGAAAAAGAACCUGAAACCGUGUACGUACAAGCAGUGGGAGCACCCUCUGGGGUGUGACUGCGUACCUUUUGUAUAAUGGGUCAGCGACUUAUAUUCUGUAGCAAGGUUAACCGAAUAGGGGAGCCGAAGGGAAACCGAGUCUUAACUGGGCGUUAAGUUGCAGGGUAUAGACCCGAAACCCGGUGAUCUAGCCAUGGGCAGGUUGAAGGUUGGGUAACACUAACUGGAGGACCGAACCGACUAAUGUUGAAAAAUUAGCGGAUGACUUGUGGCUGGGGGUGAAAGGCCAAUCAAACCGGGAGAUAGCUGGUUCUCCCCGAAAGCUAUUUAGGUAGCGCCUCGUGAAUUCAUCUCCGGGGGUAGAGCACUGUUUCGGCUAGGGGGCCAUCCCGGCUUACCAACCCGAUGCAAACUGCGAAUACCGGAGAAUGUUAUCACGGGAGACACACGGCGGGUGCUAACGUCCGUCGUGAAGAGGGAAACAACCCAGACCGCCAGCUAAGGUCCCAAAGUCAUGGUUAAGUGGGAAACGAUGUGGGAAGGCCCAGACAGCCAGGAUGUUGGCUUAGAAGCAGCCAUCAUUUAAAGAAAGCGUAAUAGCUCACUGGUCGAGUCGGCCUGCGCGGAAGAUGUAACGGGGCUAAACCAUGCACCGAAGCUGCGGCAGCGACACGAAUGUGUUGUUGGGUAGGGGAGCGUUCUGUAAGCCUGCGAAGGUGUGCUGUGAGGCAUGCUGGAGGUAUCAGAAGUGCGAAUGCUGACAUAAGUAACGAUAAAGCGGGUGAAAAGCCCGCUCGCCGGAAGACCAAGGGUUCCUGUCCAACGUUAAUCGGGGCAGGGUGAGUCGACCCCUAAGGCGAGGCCGAAAGGCGUAGUCGAUGGGAAACAGGUUAAUAUUCCUGUACUUGGUGUUACUGCGAAGGGGGGACGGAGAAGGCUAUGUCAUCCGGGCGACGGUUGUCCCGGUUUAAGCGUGCAGGUGUGUGUUCCAGGUAAAUCCGGUUCACUUUAACACUGAGGCGUGAUGACGAGGCACUACGGUGCUGAAGUGACAAAUGCCCUGCUUCCAGGAAAAGCCUCUAAGC
This 1232-nucleotide ribosomal RNA is filed under the name Kosakonia oryzendophytica. RNAcentral's name for it is "bacterial LSU rRNA". It matches the Rfam family "Bacterial large subunit ribosomal RNA", at positions 393 to 1629 of the family's 2925-position model. Lineage: Bacteria; Pseudomonadati; Pseudomonadota; Gammaproteobacteria; Enterobacterales; Enterobacteriaceae. The record is from RNAcentral.